Molecule: ribosomal RNA, 414 nt
Filed under: uncultured bacterium
Lineage: Bacteria
Description: bacterial SSU rRNA
Rfam family: Bacterial small subunit ribosomal RNA
Source: RNAcentral
UGGGGAAUAUUGCACAAUGGGGGAAACCCUGAUGCAGCGACGCCGCGUGAGUGAGGAAGUAUUUCGGUAUGUAAAGCUCUAUCAGCAGGGAAGAAAGUGACGGUACCUGACUAAGAAGCCCCGGCUAACUACGUGCCAGCAGCCGCGGUAAUACGUAGGGGGCAAGCGUUAUCCGGAUUUACUGGGUGUAAAGGGAGCGUAGACGGAGGAGCAAGUCUGAAGUGAAAGCCCGUGGCUCAACUGCGGGAUUGCUUUGGAAACUGUUGGUCUUGAGUACCGGAGGGGUAAGCGGAAUUCCUAGUGUAGCGGUGAAAUGCGUAGAUAUUAGGAGGAACACCAGUGGCGAAGGCGGCUUACUGGACGGUAACUGACGUUGAGGCUCGAAAGCGUGGGGAGCAAACAGGAUUAGAUACC